This 467-nucleotide ribosomal RNA is filed under the name uncultured bacterium. RNAcentral describes it as "partial 16S ribosomal RNA". It matches the Rfam family "Bacterial small subunit ribosomal RNA", at positions 28 to 507 of the family's 1533-position model. The record is from RNAcentral.
GAUGAACGCUGGCGGCGUGCUUAACACAUGCAAGUCGAACGGAAAGGCCCAAGCUUGCUUGGGUACUCGAGUGGCGAACGGGUGAGUAACACGUGGGUGAUCUGCCCUGCACUUCGGGAUAAGCCUGGGAAACUGGGUCUAAUACCGGAUAGGACCACUUCUUGGAUGUUGUGGUGGAAAGUUUUUUCGGUGUGGGAUGAGCUCGCGGCCUAUCAGCUUGUUGGUGGGGUAAUGGCCUACCAAGGCGUCGACGGGUAGCCGGCCUGAGAGGGUGUACGGCCACAUUGGGACUGGGAUACGGCCCAGACUCCUACGGGAGGCAGCAGUGGGGAAUAUUGCACAAUGGGCGCAAGCCUGAUGCAGCGACGCCGCGUGGGGGAGGACGGCCUUCGGGUUGUAAACUCCUUUCGCUAGGGACGAAGCGUUUUGUGACGGUACCUGGAGAAGAAGCACCGGCUAACUACGUG